This 253-nucleotide ribosomal RNA is filed under the name uncultured bacterium. RNAcentral's name for it is "partial 16S ribosomal RNA". It matches the Rfam family "Bacterial small subunit ribosomal RNA", at positions 524 to 776 of the family's 1533-position model. The record is from RNAcentral.
UACGUAGGGUGCAAGCGGUAAUCGGAAUUACUGGGCGUAAAGCGUGCGCAGGCGGUGAUGUAAGACAGGUGUGAAAUCCCCGGGCUUAACCUGGGAACUGCAUUUGUGACUGCAUCGCUGGAGUGCGGCAGAGGGGGAUGGAAUUCCGCGUGUAGCAGUGAAAUGCGUAGAUAUGCGGAGGAACACCGAUGGCGAAGGCAAUCCCCUGGGCCUGCACUGACGCUCAUGCACGAAAGCGUGGGGAGCAAACAGG